AUCGAACCCAAGUUAAUUGCUUUUCCGAAAAGUCAUUGAAGCAUGACCAAGACUGUAGGCUUAGUCAUUCGGAACAAUUGAUUAAAAUAUUUAAACAAAAGUCUACUUCUUUAUUUUGCAAGCGAGAAGUGGACCGGUCGUUGUGAGCUGCAAUCCAAUGAGCGGCGGUAAAGGUGUUAAUUACCUAUUUUUUGUUAGAGAUGAAACAAUUUCAAAUGAUUAAAAACAUGGACAAAAUGUUAUUUCAUUUAAGGAAAAAUUGAACAUUGAAUUUAUAAUAG
This is a long non-coding RNA of Osmia bicornis bicornis, 281 nucleotides long. RefSeq lists it as uncharacterized. The transcript is spliced from 3 exons. Lineage: Eukaryota; Metazoa; Arthropoda; Insecta; Hymenoptera; Megachilidae. The record is from RefSeq and is a predicted model, not a curated record.